AACGAACGCUGGCGGCAGGCUUAACACAUGCAAGUCGAACGCCCCGCAAGGGGAGUGGCAGCCGGGUGAGUAACGCGUGGGAACAUACCCUUUUCUACGGAAUAGCUCUGGGAAACUGGAAUUAAUACCGUAUACGCCCUACGGGGGAAAGAUUUAUCGGGGAAGGAUUGGCCCGCGUUGGAUUAGCUAGUUGGUGGGGUAAAGGCCUACCAAGGCGACGAUCCAUAGCUGGUCUAAGAGGAUGAUCAGCCACAUUGGGACUGAGACACGGCCCAAACUCCUACGGGAGGCAGCAGUGGGGAAUAUUGGACAAUGGGCGCAAGCCUGAUCCAGCCAUGCCGCGUGAGUGAUGAAGGCCUUAGGGUUGUAAAGCUCUUUCACCGAUGAAGAUAAUGACGGUAGUCGGAGAAGAAGCCCCGGCUAACUUCGUG
Molecule: ribosomal RNA, 431 nt
Filed under: uncultured bacterium
Lineage: Bacteria
Description: partial 16S ribosomal RNA
Rfam family: Bacterial small subunit ribosomal RNA
Source: RNAcentral